UCAUCGACAAGUAGUGAGGGCUGGCCUGGAUCUGCUGUGGCCACCGGUCCUCCCAUGGCAGGGACAGGGCUCCUGUGGGAUCCAGCCCCACUCUUUCUGUUGUUCGGAGCCGGGGCUCCCGGGGGAUCCCGGCGGGCGGCUCGGCUCGGCUCGGCUCGGCUCGGCUCGGCUCGGCUCGGUUUGCCCCAGCGCGGCCGGCGUGGCCCCCCCUUGCCGGGCCUCCGCCGUGCCCCGCCCGCCGCUCUCGGCGCCGCCUCCAGUUUCGUUUCCCGACUGCGGCGGCUCCGGGACGCGGAGCGGCGGGGAAUGGAGCUCCGGGGGUACCAGCGGGAGGCGGCGGCCCCGGCCCUGCGCGGCCGCAACAGCAUCGUGUGGCUGCCCACGGGCGCCGGCAAGACCCGUGUGGCCGUCCACGUCUGCCGGCGACACCUGGAGAGCCGGCGGGGCGCCAAGGUGGCCGUGCUUGUCAACAAGGUGCACCUGGUGGAUCAGCACACCGAGAAGGAGUUCCACGCGCUGCAGGACACCUUCAGGGUGACGUCCAUCAGUGGGGACACCAGCCACAAAACCUUCUUUGCCGACCUGGUGAAGAAGAGCGACGUUGUCAUCUGCACGGCGCAGAUUCUGCAGAACGCCCUGGUCAGCACGGAGGAGGACUUGCACGUGGAGCUGACAGAUUUCUCGCUGCUGGUGAUAGAUGAGUGCCACCACACGCACAAGGACGCCGUCUACAACAAGAUCAUGCUGAGAUACCUCCAGCGCAAGCUCAGUGGGGAGCAGGACCUGCCACAGGUCCUGGGGCUGACGGCAUCCCCUGGCACUGGAGGGGCAACAUCCUUUGAGGGAGCUCUGGAACACAUCCUGCAGAUCUGUGCCAACCUGGACACUGAGAAGAUCACAUCAGUGCAGGACGAGUUGCAGCACCUGCAGAGCCACGUCCCCCAACCCAAGAAGCAGUAUGACCUGUGCCAGGAGAGAGUGCAGGACCCCUUUGGUGAGCAGCUGAAGAAGGUGAUGGUGCAGAUCCAGCAGUUCAUGGAGAAGCCGGAUUUCCCGCGGGACUUCGGCACGCAGAUUUACGAGCAGCGCAUUGUGGAGCUGGAGAAGACAGCUGCAGAGAUGUUUUGUCGCAAGACGCGGGUGUGCGCCCUGCACCUGCGCAAGUACAACGACGCCUUGCUGAUCAACGACACCGUGAGGAUGGUCGACGCCUUCCAGUGCCUCGAGCAGUUCUACAGCACCGAGAGGGAUAUGAAGGACCCCACUGAGCAGUUCCUCACUGCCACGUUUGAGGAGAACAGGGCAAGACUGCAGGCGCUUGCUGGGGAUCACCGCUAUGAGAACCCCAGGCUGGCCAAGCUGGAGGGGAUCCUGCGUGAGCACUUUCAGCCCCUGGGCACUUCUCGUGGCAUCGUCUUCACCAAGACGAGGCAGAGUGCCCACAGCCUGCUCAGCUGGCUGCAGACCAUGGCCACGCUCCGUGGGCAGCACAUCAGGGCUGCCGUCCUCACCGGCGCCGGCUACAGCAACCAGACCAGGCACAUGACACAGAAUGAGCAGCAGGAUGUGAUCAAGCAGUUCCGUCAGGGAUCCCUCAACCUGCUCUUCUCCACCAGUGUGGCCGAGGAGGGCCUGGACAUCCCCGAGUGCAACAUCGUUGUCCGCUAUGGGCUGAUGACCAACGAGAUUGCCAUGAUGCAGGCCCGGGGCCGUGCCCGUGCUGAGAACAGUGUCUACUCUGUCCUUGCCAAAGCCAACACCAGGGAGGUGACCCGAGAGCUGCUCAAUGAAGACCUGGUGGAGCUCAUGAAGAGCGCGAUUCAGGCUGUGCAAGCCAUGCCUGAGCAGGAGUACUUCCAAAAGAUCCAGGAGCUGCAGCAGGUGGCCGUGGCCAGCUGGCUGAUGAAGGAGGCCAGGAUCAGCGAGCGGCGGCAGCUGCACGACCCGGCCGCCGUUCGCCUGUACUGCAUCAACUGCAACAGGGCCGUGUGCCAGGGCAGCGACAUCCGCACGGUGGAGGGCAUGCACCACGUCAACAUCAACCCCAAAUUCGGGUCGUAUUACAGAGUUUCCUCUGGGAAAAUACAGUUCCCGAGGACUUUCAAGGACUGGGAGCCCGGCUGCCGCAUUUCCUGCAAAGACUGCAGCCAGGACUGGGGGAUGGAGAUGCUGUACCGGCAGGUGAAGCUGCCUAUCCUCUGCAUCAAAAACUUUGUGGUGGAGACACCAGCAGAGAAGAGGAGGUACAAGAAAUGGGGUGCUGUGACAUUCCCCAUCAAGGCGUUUGACUACCUGGAGUACUGCUCUGCCACCUACAGCCUGUCCUUCUAGCACGGGCUGUGUUCAGAAGAGUAUUCACAGGGUAUUUUCAGGGUGCUGCAUGAAAAGGGGAGGCUUCCUCGACCCUUGGACAGAAAGCCAUGGCUCACUCCUCUCUUCCUCACUGGUCUGAGCCCCAGCAGCCCAUCCCAAGCUGGAUCCCAUGGCUGCUGAAGGAGCUUUGCUGCACCCAUGUAGGAAGGAUGAGAUGCUGGGAUUGAAAACCACCCAAACCCUUCCUUGCUCCCCAUGCUGCUGCCUUCUCCUCCACAACCCUGCCAGGAGAACCAUCCCUUUCUGUGGGUCCAGGACACAGCCCAGUGCUUCUCCACUCUGAUUUAUGAACUUGAAGUGUCUCCAUUAAAACACACACGCUAGACUGAACGGGCAGGGUGGCUGCAUCACUCGUGGCAAGGGCUGGUUGGGUACAGGAGGCUUCGAGGGGGGACAGUGCCCCAGAGCCAGAACCCACUGUGCCCUGUGCCAGAAGAACAGGGGUCCCCAGGGGACAGUGAAGCCUGUGAGGCUGCCCCGGCCCUACCCCACCCACAGACAGUGCCUGAGCGACCCGUCUCACCCACCCACCCAAGACCGAACCUUCCCGAGGCGCAGAACGAGCCGAAACCCCUCUGGGGCAGCCCAGGGGUCCCGGGGGGCUCCGGGCGUCCCCUCCGUGUCACCUGGGAGCUCCCUGGGAAGCUUUGCAUCCGAGCUGCGGGGGAGCCGCGGGGCUUGCGGCAGGAGCCGGGACGGGGCUCGGGCGCAGGACCGGGCCGGUUGUGGGAGGGGGGAUUCGGUACCGAGGGAUUGGGUAGCACAGGAUCGGGUACCGGGGAAUUCGGUACCACGGGAUCGGGUGCCGGGGGAUUCGGUACCGAGGGAUUCGAUACCGGGGCAUUCGGUACCGGGGGAUUCGGCACCGGGUGUGCAGCCCCGGGCCGCCCGUGCUGCCCCGCCGCCGGCCGCUAGAGGGAGCCCCGGGCCGGGCUGGGGGAUACCCGGGGAACCGGGAAACGAUCCGGGGGACCGGGGGAUGCCCGGGGAGCCGGGAAACGAUCCGGGGGAUGCUCGGGGAGCCAGGGGAUGUUCGGGGAGCCGGGGGAUGUUCGGGGAACCGGGAGAUGCCCGCGAUUCGGGGGGACCGGAGGAUGCCCGGGGAACCAGGGGAUGCCCGGAGAACUAGAGGAUGCCCAGGGAACCGGGAGAUGAUCCGGCGAGUACCAGGGGAUGCCCGUGGAAGCGGGGGAUGUUCUGGGAACCGGGAGGUGAUGGUGGGGGACGGGGGGAUGCUCCGGCGAGUCCAGGGGCUGCAGUGCUCACACCUGCGGCUCCACGCGUGUCCCUUCCCCGCGGGAUCCUGGCACACGUGUUGCUGCUGGCCCGGGGACGCCCCGUGCUAGCGAGCAAUGCGGAUGCUCAGCAGGUCCCGGGGAUGCUGCAGAAGGACAAGGACAUGUGCAGGGGACCAGAGGCUCCCGCAGUGUCAGGCACACAGAGCCCGCUCUCAGGUGGACAUGGCCCCGGGGAAACCAAACUCCUGUGCAUCAGAAACUGGGGGCUCAGUCACCUUGGGCCUGGCAGCAGGGAGCAGCCAAGCUGCAGCGAUGGGAGCUGUGACCUUGCUCGGUGUCCUUCAGGGCUUGCAUCCUCCUGAGCCAGCAUCCUUCAGGACUGGCAUCCUUCACAGCCCGUGGCCAAAUCCCCAGGCUGGAAAAAAGUCUGUGCCUGGAAGCACCUUUGCUUAUCUCAGCUCCACUUAAGUUGCAGCCAUCACGACUCGCUGCCUGUAAGCAGAGAUGGGCACCAUUAGCCCCGCAGCAAACAGCUGCUGCAGCAAGUUCUGCUGGCAGAAGCACCCUGAAGGAGCUUGGGAGAUUGGGAUUGUUUGCCCACGGGCUGCCAGGAUGGGCACAGCCCCAGGAGUGCCUGUGCCCUCCUGCCCCAGCACCCCCCGGGUGUGCUCACAGAGUCAGGGCAACGCAGCAAUUUAUUUU
Onychostruthus taczanowskii (white-rumped snowfinch) is the source of this 4313-nucleotide RNA transcript. It is a transcript of the gene named DExH-box helicase 58, with no coding region annotated. NCBI's taxonomy places the organism in Eukaryota, Metazoa, Chordata, Aves, Passeriformes, Passeridae. The record is from RefSeq and is a predicted model, not a curated record. The transcript is spliced from 14 exons.